This 588-nucleotide ribosomal RNA is filed under the name uncultured fungus. RNAcentral's name for it is "eukaryotic LSU rRNA". The stretch from base 220 to 373 matches the Rfam family "5.8S ribosomal RNA". The record is from RNAcentral. Lineage: Eukaryota; Fungi.
UCUUGGUCACUUAGAGGAAGUAAAAGUCGCAGCAAGGUCUCCGUCGGUGAUCCAGCGGAGGGAUCAUUAGCGAGUUUACAACUCCCAAACCCCUGUGAACCUCCCACUUGUUGCCUCGGCGGAUCAGCUUUUUUUGCGGUAAAACGGGACGGCCCGCCAGAGGACCCUUUAAUCUCUGUUUGUAUAUGUAACUUCUGAGUAAAACCAUAAAUAAAUCAAAACUUUCAACAACGGAUCUCUUGGUUCUGGCAUCGAUGAAGAUGGCAGCAAAAUGCGAUAAGUAAUGUGAAUUGCAGAAUUCAGUGAAUCAUUGACUCUUUGAACGCACAUUGCGCCCGCCAGUAUUCUGGCGGGCAUGCCUGUUCGAGCGUCAUUUCAACCCUCAAGCACAGCUUGGUGUUGGGACUCGCGUUAGUUGCGCGUUCCUCAAAUUGAUUGGCGGUCACGUCGAGCUAUCCAUAGCGUAGUAGUAAAACCCUCGUUACUGUUAAUCGUCGCGGCCACGCCGUUAAACCCCAACUUCUGAAUGUUGACGUCGGAUCACGUAGGAAUACCCGCUGAACUUAAGCAUAUCAAUAAGCGGAGGUA